AUUGAACGCUGGCGGCAUGCUUUACACAUGCAAGUCGAACGGUAACAGGCCGCAAGGUGCUGACGAGUGGCGAACGGGUGAGUAAUGCAUCGGAACGUGCCCAGUCGUGGGGGAUAACGCAGCGAAAGCUGUGCUAAUAACGCAUACGAUCUAUGGAUGAAAGCGGGGGACCGUACGGCCUCGCGCGAUUGGAGCGGCCGAUGUCAGAUUAGGUAGUUGGUGGGGUAAAGGCUCACCAAGCCAACGAUCUGUAGCUGGGCUGAGAGGACGACCAGCCACACUGGGACUGAGACACGGCCCAGACUCCUACGGGAGGCAGCAGUGGGGAAUUUUGGACAAUGGGCGCAAGCCUGAUCCAGCAAUGCCGCGUGCAGGAAGAAGGCCUUCGGGUUGUAAACUGCUUUUGUACGGAACGAAACGGCGAGCUCUAAUACAGUUUGCUAAUGACGGUACCGUAAGAAUAAGCACCGGCUAACUACGUGCCAGCCGCCGCGGUAA
This 498-nucleotide ribosomal RNA is filed under the name uncultured bacterium. RNAcentral describes it as "partial 16S ribosomal RNA". It matches the Rfam family "Bacterial small subunit ribosomal RNA", at positions 30 to 523 of the family's 1533-position model. The record is from RNAcentral.